Molecule: long non-coding RNA, 1268 nt
Organism: Oncorhynchus tshawytscha (Chinook salmon)
Lineage: Eukaryota; Metazoa; Chordata; Actinopteri; Salmoniformes; Salmonidae
Source: Ensembl
AAAUGACCCAUGCGUUGCAGUGUGUGUAUAUACCCAGGUGGAAGCAGCACAUGAGGAGCAGGAGAUAACUGAGGGCACAGGCUGAAUUCUGGAGAUUGAGUGUACAUCCAGAUACACCAGGCCGGGGUGUUGGGACAGCGUUGGUCUGGUCCACACACCGUACUCCUUACAGCACCUGCAGAGGAACCAGAAGGAGAAAGGUGAAAUGAAAGGAGUCAACGGCUCCAGCGGACAUAAUAUCAGUGUUCUAUGAGAAAUGGAAAUAAGAUUGUGUGUGGUGUGAUCAUAUAACAGAGGCCAUAAGUCUCUGAGUUUGUAAACCUCAUGGUGAAGGUUAAUCAUGUUUAGGUUAAUUUUGUGUUUAUAUAUUAUAAUCAUUGUUUGUCCAUUUUUAAGUACUUUCCAAGUGUAUGUAACGUUGAACAGUAUGAUAUCAGGUGUUCAAAAAGGGGGGACUGAUAGGUUUGGAUCUGAGGGGUGCCAUAGCCGAGGGGCUACACCAGAGGUUAAUGGUUAUCUGUAGGAAGAAGGUAUAUGGGGGGUGCAAUUAAGCUUGGAAUGUACUGAGUGUAGAGAAAGCGAUCACAUGUGGCAGGCAUUGAUAUGGGGGGAAGAGAGCCAUGGAUUAGUGAUGAAGGGGGUCGAGGACAGGUCAGGUCACGUUAAGGGAGAAGAAAAGUUUAUUACCAGUAUCACUUAGUUUCCUGCCUACCAAUAAAGAUACAAUGUUUAGUGAGGAGACUCCACCCAAAGUGGGGUACAUAUACCACAACUAUUGUAAACAUGUUUUUGUCUAAUGUAGCUGUAUUGACCCUUUGGGAAGAAUAAACUUAGUUUAAAACCUCUCUGGGAUAUGUGGGACGCUAGUGUCCCACCUGGCCAAAAGCCAGAGAAAAUGCAGAGCACCAAAUUCAAAUAAAUUACUAUAAAAAUCAAACUUUCAUGAAAUCACACAUGUAAGAUACCAAAUUAAAGCUACACGUGUUGUGAAUCCAGCCAACAUGUCAGAUUUCAAAAAGGCUUUUCGUCGAAAGCAAACAAGGCUAUUAUCUGAGGAUAGCACCAUAGUAAACCAAGAGAGAAAACAUAUUUCAACCCUGCAGGCGUGACACAAAACGCAGAAAUAAAAAUAUAAAUCAUGCCUUACCUUUGAUGAGCUUCUUCUGUUGGCACUCCAAUAUGUCCCAUAAACAUCACAAAUGGUCCUUUUGUUCGAUUAAUUCCGUCGAUAUAUAUCCAAAAUGUCCUUUAUUUGGCGCGUUUGAUCC